RNAcentral lists this ribosomal RNA (780 nucleotides) under uncultured bacterium. RNAcentral's name for it is "bacterial SSU rRNA". It matches the Rfam family "Bacterial small subunit ribosomal RNA", at positions 8 to 796 of the family's 1533-position model. The record is from RNAcentral.
AGAGUUUGAUCAUGGCUCAGGAUGAACGCUGGCGGCGUGCCUAACACAUGCAAGUCGAGCGGGGUUUUUAGGAAGCUUGCUUUUUAAAAACUUAGCGGCGGACGGGUGAGUAACGCGUGGGUAACCUGCCCUAUACACAGGGAUAACAUUGAGAAAUUGAUGCUAAUACCUGAUAAGCCAACGGAUAGGCAUCUAUAAGUUGGAAAAACUGAGGUGGUAUAGGAGGGGCCCGCGUCUGAUUAGCUAGUUGGUGGGGUAAAGGCCUACCAAGGCGACGAUCAGUAGCCGACCUGAGAGGGUGAUCGGCCACAUUGGAACUGAGACACGGUCCAAACUCCUACGGGAGGCAGCAGUGGGGAAUAUUGCACAAUGGGGGGAACCCUGAUGCAGCAACGCCGCGUGAAGGAAGARGUAUUUCGGUAUGUAAACUUCUAUCGACAGGGAAGAAGAGAAUGACGGUACCUGAAUAAGAAGCACCGGCUAAAUACGUGCCAGCAGCCGCGGUAAUACGUAUGGUGCAAGCGUUAUCCGGAUUUACUGGGUGUAAAGGGUGAGUAGGCGGUUAUGCAAGUCAUAUGUGAAAUUCUGGAGCUCAACUCCAGCGCUGCAUAAGAAACUGUGUAACUAGAGUACAGGAGAGGUAAGCGGAAUUCCUAGUGUAGCGGUGAAAUGCGUAGAUAUUAGGAAGAACACCGGUGGCGAAGGCGGCUUACUGGACUGAAACUGACGCUGAGUCACGAAAGCGUGGGGAGCGAACAGGAUUAGAUACCCUGGUAGUCC